AAGAAGCUCACAAGUAUCCUAAUCCUAAAGGGUUCCAAUGUUUCAAGUGCCAAGGUUAGGGACAUAAAGCCAAUGAAUGUCCAAACCGGCGCAAUGUGAUCCUAAGGGAAGGGAGAUUGUAUUACCUUGGUGAGGAAGUGGGUCUUGAAAAAGAAGAGAAGGAGGCCGAGCCUCAAGAUGGAGAGAAACCCAAAAAUGAGCCUCAUGAUGAUGAUG
RNAcentral lists this long non-coding RNA (216 nucleotides) under Capsicum annuum. Its description in RNAcentral is "long non-coding RNA (CANN_LNC002823)". Lineage: Eukaryota; Viridiplantae; Streptophyta; Magnoliopsida; Solanales; Solanaceae. The record is from RNAcentral.